ACAGCUCUUUACUUUUCAGAGAGGUCCUGCUUUCUCUUGGCUGACCAGUCUUGCUCUGCACUCUCAUCACCUUGCUUAGCAUCAGAAGUUCUUAUUGGGGCUUUUCAUUGAACUACGUCCAUGAACUGACCUGAUAGUUUCAAGGACACACCUCCCCAAGCCUGCAUAGCAGUAACAACCAAAGAGAUAUUUCAUGAAACUAAAUGAGUUAAGACAGAGCCCAGGAGCAAGUUUUUACUUAACAGCAUGCAACAUUCCAAAACUUUGCAGCAGUUUACCUGCAUGUAAACCUGCAGUUUGCACAUACGUGGGAAACAGAAAGUUUCCUUUCUAGGGUGAAAUCACAGGAAUGUUCCAAUAAUUACCAGUCUUCCAUUCGCUUUCAGUUUUAAUAGUUUUUCAAUCAUCACUCAUAACUGGGACACUCACCUGUGAGGAAUUUUUUGAGUCAGAGAUUUUACUACACUAUCCCUGUCCAAAAGCAUGAGUUUGCACAGUUCCAGCAAAAUCAACACGAGAUACCUCAAGAGAGACUAUAUGAGGCUGCAAAAGCUAGAGCUAGGAAAACAUUUUUAAAGUUUUUGACCUAAAACAAAACAUUGUUUUCAUAAAACUUUUGUAAGUAUCCUUGAGCAAACAGAAGAAAAGGAAGAUUAAAGGAAGCCUAAAAAAGCAGAAAUUCUACUAGGUAAAGUCGUACCGUUACACCUCUGACGAACUUUUACUUAACACGGGGUCAGGAGCUGCUUGCGCAUGAUGUGCGAGCUGGGAAGAAGCGCACGCCCCGACCCUUCCCACAGGACAGCGAGUGCGACCCUCUGCCGGUCGGUCCUGAAGACACGCGAGGCAGUGGCGGCCACUCUCCCUCGUUCCCCCUUUCUUGGUGCAGACGGCUGAAGGCAGAAGCAGCGAGUAAACACCCCAGGUGCAGCUGCUUGAGGGCUCGCCGCUUUC
Molecule: non-coding RNA, 954 nt
Organism: Cyanistes caeruleus (blue tit)
Lineage: Eukaryota; Metazoa; Chordata; Aves; Passeriformes; Paridae
Source: RefSeq, a predicted model, not a curated record